Molecule: long non-coding RNA, 603 nt
Filed under: Malus domestica (apple)
Lineage: Eukaryota; Viridiplantae; Streptophyta; Magnoliopsida; Rosales; Rosaceae
Description: long non-coding RNA (MDOM_LNC002561)
Source: RNAcentral
GCUUCCGACCAUGCCCAGAUCCAAAUUCAGCUGGCAGUGCCUUAUACCCGGGCUCUCCUCGAACCAAAGCUCUACUCAGUUUCACCAUGUGAGGCAGGACAAGCAAUAAUUCAGAGAGCUCAGUGACCCAUCCCCUGCAUCUUCUUUGCAAGGUGGAAGCCAUAUGAAAUCAUUUUCUGAGAAAACAAAAGUGAGAGGCGCAGUGAACAAAGAUAAAGAAAAAGCAAAAAGAGAAAAGAAAGGAAGUGGGAAAUUAUGCUCUAAAAUGUGAAAAGCCACAAACAAAAAAGGGUGUCGACCACUGGAAGAAGAUAACUUUAUUAUCUUUAUUAUCAGUGCAUCAACAUUUUGUCGACCACCAAAGAAGAUGCCUACCAACAAUGAAAUUUUCAUCAUGAAAGGGAAUGCAUGUUCCCUGCCCAUUCUCUGAGAAAGCUACAGGAAGACCUAGGAGGAAGAUAAGGGUUCCUUACUUUAAAUGAUGUAAUUUAUUUUUUUUAUCUUUCGGAGACAUCUGUAUAACCCCAUCAGAGGGUAAUAAAAAAACGGCAAGCCCAAAAUAAUGGGCUGGAAUGUUAUGUGGAGGGCAAAGGCCCAUAUGCC